Molecule: unclassified non-coding RNA, 374 nt
Filed under: uncultured Thermoleophilia bacterium
Lineage: Bacteria; Bacillati; Actinomycetota; Thermoleophilia
Description: contains 16S-23S intergenic spacer region
Source: RNAcentral
UCCGGUUUGUCACCGGCAGUCUCAUUAGAGUGCCCAACUAAAUGCUGGCAACAUAGGACGAGGGUUGCGCUCGUUGCGGGACUUAACCCAACAUCUCACGACACGAGCUGACGACAGCCAUGCACCACCUGUAUACGGCCCAAAAGGACCUGACAUCUCUGCCAGUUUUCCGUAUAUGUCAAGCCCAGGUAAGGUUCUUCGCGUUGCAUCGAAUUAAACCACAUGCUCCGCUGCUUGUGCGGGUCCCCGUCAAUUCCUUUGAGUUUUAGCCUUGCGGCCGUACUCCCCAGGCGGGGCACUUAAUGCGUUAGCUCCGGCACGGGAGGAGUCGACACCUCCCACACCUAGUGCCCAUCGUUUACGGCGUGGACUAC